UCCCAAAUAACGAAAAUUAAUAAUUGGAAUCAAAAUAAUUAUUGCGUUUGGAUUCAUAAAUUUUAAUCCGUUGUUACAAUUGUAAACUCAAUAUUAUUAAACUUAAGCUCGUUCGUAUCAAGGUUCAGGUUUAACGUUGCCAAAGACAGAGAUGUUUCAUGCAGCUAUGCAUCCAAGGAUGAUGUUUUGUUGGGCUCGUUCUGAUUAAGCAUCUUCUUUCAAGAUGAAGGUGACUUGCGGGUGACAAGAAGAAUAAUAUAUCGCAGAACAAAUCCAUUAAGAAUUCCACUCAAAAGCAGCAAAAAAGCGAAGUACAAAGAUUUUCCUAAAAGUUCAUUGAGGUUUCACAGAGGCCGCAAUAGGUGGCCGACAACAACAAAUUGCAGGGGAUCAAAUGAAUUAGACCAUGUAUGUCAUCCCAACUUGCAGGAUAUUCAUGUGAGGUACUCGCAUAGUGGCUGCGCCACCUCUACAAUUCCUCCUCAAGAAUGAAUAGAAGUAGUUAAUAACCAAUUUCUUGAGAAAAAAGGAAUUUUUCUUUGCUCUUACAUCCCCAUGAGCGAGCAGAUAAGUAAAUCCUGAGUCUUUUGCUUCUUUAAGAGCUGCAAGCUCAUAUUCUAGACUUGGGUCUUCCUCUGAUGACAUGACACUAGAAGGCAAUGCUGAGGAUGCUUCUUCCGAAGCAGAAGUCCCAGGUUCUCCUGAUCUUUGAUCAUGCAUCAAAGGAAUCCUUAGGUCCUCAGUCCCGUCACCAGCUGGGGCCCCAGAAUCCUUUGACGUCACUGAAACACUAUCCAUGUCCAACUCGUUCAAAUUGCUCUCCAAGGCAAGAUCCUGAGCCUCUCUUCGCAAAAACUUUUCAAGGCUUUCGACCAAAAGUUGCUCAAACGCAUGGUGAUCUUCCUUCCUGACAUCUUUGUAACCAUACCGGGCAACACAGCGGAACAUAUGGUAGUCUUUUGGGCAAACUCUUCGGAAAAGAAACCUCUCCUCUUGAGGAACCACCGGAACAGGGACAUACUUGAUGCAAACAAAUACUAUAGUAGAGUGGAUUGCUGGAAGACUUAGUAGAUACUGCCCCAAUAUCGAGGGAAUACCAUAGACAAGCUCAUUGUACAACAAUCCGAUUCCAGGAACUCUAACGGUCCCCAGGGUGGAACCAAGCUCAAGCAUGAAAUCCAUGGAAAUCUUUUCCCUUACCUCACUCUGGUAUUUCAACACACUCCCAUAGUUCCAAAUGUACAUCACAGAAAGGAAACAACUGGCAAAUACAAGUGGAAGCCAUCCACCCUCUUUGAUUUUUGAUAGAACCGCAGACAUGUAAAUGAGUUCUACUGACCCAAAAACAAGUGGGAAACAUAAAGCCAGAAACAAAUUAGUCUGCCAGAUCAGAAGCAUUACAAGUGUCACUAAUGUAGUACUCACAAUCAUCACACCGACCUCAGCUAUGCCAUAUGCAUUGGCGAUAUCCGUGGUGCUCCGAAAGAUUGAAACCACAACUAUGCACAUAAUCAUUAAAAAGUAAUUUAUAACAGGGAUGUAAAUUUGACCCAUCAGCCUCCUUGAGGUGUGAACUAUCUUCAGCCUUGGGAAGCAUCCAAGAGCCAUAGAUUGCUUAACACAUGAAAAUGUAGCAGAAAUCAUUGCUUGGCUGGCAAUCAUGGCAGCAAGGGUAGCUAUGACAAAGACUGGCCAGAACAGACUCUCUGGCACAGAAUCAUAGAAUAUUCUGUCUGAAGAUUUCGGGUGUUUCAUUAAAUACGAAGCCUGGCCCAUGUAAGCUAGGAGAAGACAAGGAAAUACUACGCAAGAGAAUGCAAUCUGUAUUGCUUUUACAGAAAAAUGCCCCAGAUCAGCAAACAUUGCUUCAGCUCCUGUGAUGCACAGAACACAACCACCAAGAGCUGACCAUGCGUCUAAGCUGUUUUUCUUGAAGAAAAGAUAGAUAUAAGCAGGAUUGAAUGCCCUCAAGACACUAAUAUCAUGAGUCACUAUAUUGUAAAGUCCAAUAGAAGCCAAAGAGAAGAACCACAAAGCGAGCACAGGAGCAAACAGGAAACUCACUUUCCCAGUCCCAAACUGUUGGAUGCUGAACAAAGCCACAAGCACUAUGAUCGAGACAACAACCAGUGCAGUUGUGCCAAAUCCAGGUAUUUCACCCUGCAGACCACUCAUAGCAGACAUCACUGAUAUGGCAGGAGUUAGAAUACCAUCUCCUAUAACCAUGGAAGUUCCCAUCAGAACCAACAGCAAAAGAAUUGUUUUCAGGAAUGACUUCUUCUCCAAAGCGUCUUUUAUGCUUAAAGCCCUUUCCAACUCCGGAGUGGGCAGCUUGAGCCUAAAACUUGAGAUAAGUUCAUCAGCUGGCUGACGAUUUGGCAGCAUACUAACCUUUGCAUAUCUGCUAAUCAGCGAGUACAGAGCAAAUGUUCCUCCUUCCCCAUUAUCAUUUGCUUUAAGCACUACAAAUACAUAUUUUGCUAAAGGAAUGAGAGCAAUUGUGUACAUUACUAGUGAUAAGGCCCCCAAGAUAUCAACUUUUAACUCAAUGGUCACCUUACUGAAUACAUCAGCAAAAUCAUAUAAAGGGCUUGUGCCCAGGUCACUAUACAACACUUCCAGUGUUUGAAAGGCAAAUGCAAGAGUGGUCCAAGUGGAGAGUUCCUAAAGCAUUAAAGAAAUAGAGUUGUGAAAGACACCAAAUUUCAUCGAAACUAAUUUUAUCAAUCUUAGUUUUGAAUGCCAGCACACCCUUCUGAAUGCCUUGUACUUAUAAUUGGGACUAAUGCAACCUCUUCACAUUUCAACUGUUUUUCAGCGAAGCACUGUCAACAUGGAAUGCUAAUGCCAUGUGUAUAAAUCACCUAAAAUAUUAUCCACACCAUAACAUAAGACAACGAAAUAUUUAAGUUUCAAAUUUUAACGUUGUUGCUUAACCUGUAUACAAUCUUCAACUACUGAAAUUCCCAAUGCCCAGUUGAUGACACCACAUCCUACCAAAUGCUCGCUAAAAUAAAUGAAGAAUUAAACCAUGCCAAACUUUGUAGAUUGCAUAACAUGGUCAAGACCUGCUAAGCAAAACCAGGCUAGUUUGAAUGCUCUUUCCCACUUGUAAGUCUUUUACACUACGCAUUCCAGCUACACUCAAAUCAUACAAAAGGAUAUCAAAUUCGCAAAGAGUAGGUAACGGAGUUUAUGUGAGUUCCAAUUCUUUGUAUCUCAAUAUACUAAUGGAGGUUUUACCACCUUCACAAUUUGUCAGAAAAUUAGAAAUACAGAAUCUCAAAAGCAAAUCUACUUGCCCAUUUUUAAUUAUGAACUUCAAUUUUCAAAAAAAUUACCGUAACAACUCAAUGAAAUACAUAAAUUCAAGGUAAAAGAUGAUACGAAGUGUUCAAUAUGUCAUAGAAAUACAAAAUCUAAAAGCAAAAAAACGAUGAUUACUAAUAUAGGUAUUUCCUUAGAGGGGUGAACUUGAGCAGCAGCAAUCUACAUGGU
This 3498-nucleotide unclassified non-coding RNA is filed under the name Hevea brasiliensis (rubber tree). The record is from RNAcentral. Lineage: Eukaryota; Viridiplantae; Streptophyta; Magnoliopsida; Malpighiales; Euphorbiaceae.